Molecule: ribosomal RNA, 429 nt
Filed under: Chloroflexota bacterium
Lineage: Bacteria; Bacillati; Chloroflexota
Description: Chloroflexi bacterium partial 16S ribosomal RNA
Rfam family: Bacterial small subunit ribosomal RNA
Source: RNAcentral
UGGGGAAUAUUGCACAAUGGGCGCAAGCCUGAUGCAGCCAUGCCGCGUGUGUGAAGAAGGCCUUCGGGUUGUAAAGCACUUUCAGCGGGGAGGAAGGCGAUAAGGUUAAUAACCUCGUCGAUUGACGUUACCCGCAGAAGAAGCACCGGCUAACUCCGUGCCAGCAGCCGCGGUAAUACGGAGGGUGCAAGCGUUAAUCGGAAUUACUGGGCGUAAAGCGCACGCAGGCGGUCUGUCAAGUCGGAUGUGAAAUCCCCGGGCUCAACCUGGGAACUGCAUUCGAAACUGGCAGGCUAGAGUCUUGUAGAGGGGGGUAGAAUUCCAGGUGUAGCGGUGAAAUGCGUAGAGAUCUGGAGGAAUACCGGUGGCGAAGGCGGCCCCCUGGACAAAGACUGACGCUCAGGUGCGAAAGCGUGGGGAGCAAACAGG